UCAGACUUCCGGUUCUCAGAAUUGACCCAAGCCUCUGGAGCUGCUUUCACCUUUCAGGCAGCGCCCUCACCCUGUAGCGCAUAGUUCCUGCCCUCGCUCUCCUUUGCUCUGCGGGCGCAGGGGGGGCAGCUGCGCAAUCUCAGUGUCCUGAGGGUUCCCCGAGUUCUGCCUUGCGCGCUGGUUUCUCCGCAUCCUUACCAGAUGCCGCUGGUCUCUGCACCACCUGGGGCGCCAUGGCCACCUUGGCCUACCUGCUGCGACAUCUGGAUUCCAGGGGAACUGCCAGGGUCAGAGGCUGAAGGCACAAGCAUGGCAAUCACCGCCUGGUCAGACUCCAGAGGUUUGGUUUGUAACAUUAAGAAGACAUUCCUCCAAUGCCUGAAAUGCCCUUCAUAGUGUCCUUUACGUUACAAGAGCUUGGGAACAGUCACAUGGAGGAUCGGGAGCUGAGCCCACACACUGAAAACACAGAACAGAGGGAGCAGAUGGAAGAAAGAAAAUUGGCAGGUUUAGAGGGCGAGAACAACCCAAAGAAGGGCCAGGUAAUAUGGAGCUGGAUUUGCCAAAGGAGGUGAGAAUAAGCACAAGUUGAAUUCAGAAAAGUCAAGGGAAACUGAGGAAUGUGUACAGCAUCGUGCGGCUCCUCAAGGAGCAGCCUGAGCUGAGCAGUGAGGACUGGGAUAGUAACUUACUCGACAGUGAACCUGUGCACCUGCGAGAGCAAUCCACAGAAUGGAUCAGGAUUGGUUUCUACUGCUGGGAAGCACCAAUUCCAAGAGGAGGAGGAUGUGACCAUGAGGCUCUGCCCAGACCACCCCCAGCCUCCACCUAGGAACUGGCCUCACAGUGGAUGU
This is a long non-coding RNA of Diceros bicornis minor, 854 nucleotides long. RefSeq lists it as uncharacterized. The record is from RefSeq and is a predicted model, not a curated record. The transcript is spliced from 3 exons. NCBI's taxonomy places the organism in Eukaryota, Metazoa, Chordata, Mammalia, Perissodactyla, Rhinocerotidae.